RNAcentral lists this long non-coding RNA (20568 nucleotides) under Triticum aestivum (bread wheat). RNAcentral's name for it is "long non-coding RNA (TAES_LNC015642)". Lineage: Eukaryota; Viridiplantae; Streptophyta; Magnoliopsida; Poales; Poaceae. The record is from RNAcentral.
UGGGUUGAAGUCUCCAUCAACGUGGAUGUACGAUAGCACCACCUAUCGGAACCAUGCCAAAAACAUUCAUGUCUCCAAUUGCGUUUGAAUCCUCCAAACCCUUCCCUUUACUUUCUUGCAAGUUGCAUGCUUUAAUUUCCGCUCCCUAUAUACUCUUUGCAUGCUUGCUUGAAUUGUGUGAUGAUCGCUUGACUUGUCCUAAAGUAGCUAAAAUCUGCCAAACUCUAAAAUUGGGAAAAGGUUAAGUUUUUAUUGGUCAAGUAGUCUAAUCACCCCCCCUCUAGACAUACUUCAAGGUCCUACAUCUGCCUUACGUUCCGCUCUAUCGGCUAACACGGCACCAGGAGAACUACUGCGAUUGUACCCCGGUUCGGCUUGGUGAGCACCUCAGUAGAGAAAGCCGAAAACUAACUGUCAUGAUAUAGCGAGAGACUGGUCAACCACUCGAUGGACCACCGGAAUGUUUAGAAUUCCUCCGCUUUAACUAAGGACCGUUUCCCGGUCAGGCACAUACGCGCCCCGAAUUCGGAGAGCGCGGUGCCCCUAGGGGCUAUAUAGUAGCCCCACCAUCGAACACCUAUGGCUAAGUGAAAGUGAUAAAGCAUUAUAGUCCGGUUGCCUAGUUUGCUACGCUAUCACCUCCUUCAUAGGACCAAGACGUAGGAUUAAGUGUGGAAAUGCGCUUUUUUGCAAACGCCCCCGCACUAUGUGCGUGGGGGCUGAAGCCGAAGACUGCCAUCUUUCAGGUUAUAUACACAUAUACAUUAACGGCCGCAUAGGAGGUAUUUCAGUACUUGAACGCACAAGUAUAAAAAGCCUUUACAUUAUAUUUGAAACAUAGUUUCAUAAAUCAUACAUGUCAUUUGAACACAAUAUUCUUCGAGCACUGCGUCUCUUUUAAACGAGUGCCCUGCAGGACUUCCUCAAAAUAGUGCUCGGCGGGUACUCGGCUUCUGUCCGAAUCCUGGGAUGCAACGUCGGUGGCCUUCAUCUCUGCCCAGUAUGUUUUGACACGGGCAAGAGCCAUCCGCGCACCUUCUAUGCAUGCCGACCGCUUCAUUGCAUCGAUAUGCGGCACCGCAUCAAGGAACUGCUGCACCAAGCCAAAAUAACUCUUCGGCUCGGGCCUUUUCGGCCACAAAUGAGUCACGACAUCCUUCAUGGCAAGUCCGGACAACCUAUUCAGCUCAGCCCAUUCGGCUAACCGAUCGGUUAAUGGAAGUGGACGCUCUGGACUAUGGAACUGCGACCAAAAAAGGUCUUCCAUCCCGUGAUCCUUUUGGCCUCGGAAGUGUGCGACCACAUCUGCGGCACUCGCCGCCAAAUCCAGAUAAGCAUCCUCCGCACCCCACAGCUGGCCCAACUGAGCAUACUUCGGAUUCGUGAACUUCCUACGCUGCAGAAAGGGCUUUCCAGCCGCAAUAUCCCCGGCUUGAUGUAGCUCCUUCUUUAUAGCUCUCAUCACAGAGCGCACAUCCUUGGCUUCGGCGGUGGCCUUCUUCAGGUCCUCUUGCUCCGCUCGGCAUUCUUUUUCAAGAAACUCGCAGCGGUCGGUAGCAUUCUUCAACUUCCCAACCAUCUCGGCCAUUUCCUCCCUGCUUCGGCAGUGAGCAGCCUGUUCGGCUUUUAGCUCCUCGGCCUCCCUCAAGGCAGCCGCAUCACUUUUUCUGGCUUGCUCCUUGACUCGGGCUAGCUCCGCCCGAAGGUUCUCCAUAGCAGCGGCACCAUCUGCAUAAAGCAUACAUGUUGUAAGGCAUGAGCGUUAAGCUCCCUUACCAGGUGUCCACAGAGAAGUUGCAUACCUUGUGACUCGUCAAGCCGCUUAUUGACAAGCGCGAUGUCUGCAUUCCCCAUGUCAAGUUGCCACUUCAGUUCGGCAAAGUGAUCAGUCCGGUUGGCCACCGGACGCUCCGCCACAUAUAUAGGACAGGCGACAUCUUAAAAACUGAGAUUAUGAUCCUCGGCCCGCUGUCACUUUCGACAACGUACCGAGUCUCAGGGGCUACUAUCUAUACAGAGCGCAUUCUAUAUGCAAAACUGUCAGGAGGUAUAUCAUUUUCGCGUACCUCAAACCCCGUCAGUAAACUUCGGACGGCUUCACGCAAUCCGCUCUCAGCGGAUGAAAUCCUUUCAAUCACCGUACCCAUUAACGCACAGUGAUCUUCUAAGAUAGACGCUCGCCCGAGCAGAUACCUCAGCUCCUCCGACCGUACACCAGUCGGUGCCGGCCCCGCCGAACUCGGGGAAACCCUCUGCGACGACACUUCAGGGUCGUCCACCCCACCUGACGGUGCGGCAGAUGGAGGCGUUUCACUCUCCAUCAUCUCCGGAUGAAGAUCCCCCGAAGAUGAGCUCUACUGAGAAGGGUUGAGAUAUGAACUACAAGGUAAAACUUCGGUUAUCUACAGAAAUAAAAACAGGGAUGUCCCUUAUUACAAAACUCCCCUUUCUACUUACGGCUUGCUGGAGGGCUGAUUCCCUUGGGGAAAUAAUGCGGCCGAGGCCUCUCCUGGCGCAGGACCCUCUGGUGAAGAUUUCUUCCCCCGCUUUGAGGCCUUGGCCUCCGGAUCUUCAGAAGCGGUCCUCUUCUCCCCCUGGAGGGAGGGAUUCUCGAUCCCCCCUCCCUUGAAAGCCUCCUUCGCAGAGGCAGUAAUUUCCUUGUUCCCCCCUUUGCCCUCUUCCAAAGGCGCAGCCUCCAGCAUCUUGGUUAACACUGGAUCUGGCGUGGUCUCGGGGAGGGGGGCCGGACACCUUAUUAGUUUUGCAUUCGCUACCCACUCCUGUUCAAGGGACAACUCUUUAAAGGGCAAGUUUAUGAUAAAUGUAUGGAUAGCGUUUCUGGGCACAGGACUACUUACUUGAGUAUCCGGGAAAUUGCAGCUCAGACCUGCGUCCUCGGUCAAGUCCGGACACAUCUCUUGUGAUCCGAAGAACAGUUUAUACAUCUCCACGGGCGUCGCGCCCAUGAAGUGUUGGAGAGCUCGUGGUCCCUCCGGAUUAAAUUCCCACAGGCGGAGGGGGCGACGUUUGCAGGGCAGAAUGCGCCGAAUCAGCAUGACCUGCGCCACUACGACCAGAUUGAUCUCUCUCUCUUGGAGGUCUCGAAUACGGCCCUGCAGCAGAGGUACGUCCUUGAACGGCCCCCAGUCAAGUCCUUUGUUGACCCAUGACGCCAGCCGUUGUGGAGGACCCGAGCAGAAGGUAGGUGGCACCACCCAUUUGGUGCCCCUGGGAGCGGUGAUGUAAAACCACUCCCGUUGCCACAAACCAAGCUCCUCUUGAAAAGAGCCCUCGGGCCAUGGAGCGUCAACAUUCUUGCUUAUAACAACCCCUCCGCACUCUACCUGCUUCCCCUUGAUCAUCUUCGGCUCCACUUUGAAGGUCUUGAGCCACAAUCCGAAGUGAGGGGUAAUGCGGAGGAAGGCUUCACAUACGACAAUGAACGAUGAGAUGUGGAGGAUGGACUCCGGAUCCAAGUCGUGGAAUUCCAACCCAUAAUAAAACAUGAGCUCCCUCACGAAGGGGUCCGUCAGGAAGGCUAAACCCUGAAGGAAGUGAGACAUGAACACGAUGCUCUCACCAGUCUCGGGAGUAGGAAUAACCUGCCCUUGGGCAGGCAGCCUAUGUGAAAUUUCACCGAUUAGAUACCUAGCGUCUCUCAGCUUUAGCACGUCUUCUUCCAUGACGGAGGAAGGCAUCCACCGGCCUUGCAGGUCGGAGCCGGACAUUGUCGAAGGUCCAAAGCGCCUGAAUCUGGAGCUUUGGGUGUUGGAACUCGAGGCGAGGGGCGGACUCGAUUGAGAUUGAAAGAAAGGAGCAGGCCUUGGUCUUGUUAUAAAGAGGUUGAAUACCAAGAGCCCCCCCGUGGCCGUUUGGGACUCGCCUUCGAUAGAGGGGGCGUGCCAACGGGCGCGGUUGGGUUACCCACGCCCGUAUUGAUGAGAAUCCCGGAAUAAGGGGACACGAUCUCUGCUUUGACAAGACGUGCCAAGGAAACCGCUUCGCUAAACGCGCUGAGGUGGAACAAUAAAAACAAUUCGAAUAAAGGCCUGGCCAUGAUGUGAUGCCACGCCACGGAAUACGUCAGCAGAUUGAACUUGUGUAAAUAUUAUUCUCUCUACGGUGGUAUGUGGAACUUAUUUUGCAGAGCCGGGCACUAUCCUGGUGUUCAAAAAUCUUCUAUGAAGUAUUCGGAGGAGGAACCCGCCUUGCAAUGCCGAAGACAAUAUGCGUGCUGGACUUGUCGUCAUCGAAGCCUGGUUCAGGGGCUACUGAGGGAGUCCUGGACUAGGGGGUGUCCGGAUAGCCAAACUAUCAUCUUUGGCUGGACUCCAAGACUAUGAAGAUACAAGAUUGAAGACUCCGUCCCGUGUCCGGAUGGGACUUUCCUUGGCAUGGAGGGCAAGCUUGGCGAUACGGAUAUGUAGAUCUCCUACCAUUGUAACCGACUCUGUGUAACCCUAGCCCUCUACCAUGUCUAUAUAAACCAGAGGGUUUUAGUCCGUAGGACGAACAACAAUCAUACCAUAGGCUAGCUUCUAGGGUUUAGCCUCUCUGAUCUCAUGGUAGAUCUACUCUUGUACUACCCAUAUCAUCAAUAUUAAUCAAGCAGGAGUAGGGUUUUACCUCCACAGAGAGGGCCCGAACCUGGGUAAAAACAUCGUGCCCCUUGUCUCAUGUUACCAUCCGCCUAGACGCACAGUUCGGGACCCCCUACCCGAGAUCCGCCAGUUUUGACACCGACAACGCCUAAUGCUAGUUGUUGUUUUCUGCAUGUUUGUUACAUCGCAGGAAAUCAAUACCAAACGGAGUCCAAACGCAGUGAAACAUUUUGAGGAUUUUUUUGGGGAAAGAAGACAUCCAGUGGGCCAAGGCUGCACCUAUGGGUUGCCUUAAGGAGGGCAGCACCCACCAGGGCGCGCCAGGCGGCCCAGGCGCACUCUGGUGGGUUGUGCCCACCUCGGGUGCCCCUUAAAUCGCCUCCUUGCUCUAUAAAUACCCCAAUAUUCCAGAAACCCUAGGGGAGUCGACGAAAAUCAAUUCCAGUUGCCGCAGAGUCCAGAACCACCAGAUCCAAUCUAGACACCAUCACGGAGGGGUUCACCACUUCCAUUGGUGCCUCUCCGAUGAUGCGUGAGUAGUUCUUUUUAGACCUACGGGUCUGUAGUUAGUAGCUAGAUGGCUUCCUCUCUCUCUCUUGAUUGUCAAUACAAUGGUCUCUUGGAGAUCCAUAUGAUGUAAGCCUUUUUGGUUGUGUUUGUUGGGAUCCGAUGAACUUUGAGUUUAUAAUCAGAUCUAUGUUUUUAUCCAUGAAAGUUAUUUGAGUCUUCUUUGAUCUCUUAUAUGCAUGAUUGCUUAUAGCCUCGUAUUCUUCUCCGAUAUUUGGGUUUUGUUUGGCCAACUUGAUCUAUUUAUCUUGCAAUGGGAAGUGGUGCCCGGUAGUGGGUUCGAUCUUACGGUGCUUGAUCCCAAUGACAGAAAGGGAACCGACACGUAUGUAUCGUUGCUACUAAGGAUAAAAAGACGGGAUCCAUAUCUGCCGCAAUAGAUAAACGGAUCUUGUCUAUAUCAUGUCAUCGUUCUUAUUGCAUUACUCCAUUUUUCCAUGAACUUAAUACACUAGAUGCAUGCUGGAUAGCGGUCGAUGUGUGGAGUAAUAGUAGUACAUGCAGGCAGGAGUCGGUCUAGUAAUCCUGGACGUGAUGCCUAUGCAAUGAUCAUUGCCUGGAUAUCGUCAUGAUUAUUUGAAGUUCUAUCAAUUUCCCAACAGUAAUUGUUUUCCCGCCAUUUGCUAUUUUUCUCGAGAGAAGCCACUAGUGAAACCUACGGCCCCCAGGCCUCUUUUCAUCAUAUUUGCCUUUGCGAUCUAUUUUCCUUUGCAUUUAUUUUUCAGAUCUAUUAAACCAAAAAUAAAAAAAAACCUUGCUGCAAUUUAUUUGUUCCACGAUCUAUUUAUCCUAUCUACCACUUUUACCUCACAUUAUUUGCCUAUCUUGAGGCGUUGUACCCGAAAGGGAUUGACAACCCCUUUAACACGUCGGGUUGCGAGUAUUUGUUAUUUGUGUGCAGGUGCUGUUUACGUGGUGUGAGGAGGUUCUCCUACUGGUUUGAUAACCUUGGUCUCAUCACUGAGGGAAAUACCUACCGUCGCUAUACUGCAUCAUCCCUUCCUCUUUGGGGAAAUACCGACGUAGUUCUAGCAGACAUCAUACCUGCACACAAAACACAAAACAAACUUAUCCCCAACAAGUCAAAAAGGUUGUCAAGCUUCUUUUUUUUGUGGGGAAUAGGGUGUUUUUAUUACUCAAUCAAAGGGCAGUCCGCCUUACAAAGUUCUCGAACAACACCAAGACCCGAUCAAAUCCACAAAGCAGUGCGAACCUCACAUCUACCAAAAUUAGCUAAAAAAUGACUGACAACAUUUUGAUCACGCUUCACAUGCGUGAUCUUCACCUCUCGGCCCUCCUACAGGGAUUUCGAGAUAGUAUCCACCAUCAUGGUGUAUCUCGAGUGUCCUGCCAGCCCUUGAGAAAUCAGAUUCUUCACCUCGAGACAAGUCGGUUCUCCACAACAAUCGAUAGUGUAGUCCAUUGCAAGGCAAACGCGACCCCAUCCUUAUAGGUUGAGAGCUCCACCUCUAGCACAUCCGCACAUGAACUCAAGUAUCGACAAGCUGAGAAAAUGAUGGCUCCUAUAUCAUCACGCAAGAUCAUUCCUGCUCCAGCCGUAGCAUCCGCAUCAUAGAAGUACCCAUCAACUGAUAGUUUGGUCCAUCCGGCUGGUGGUGGAGACCAAACAAGCCUCGACUGAUGCUCCUUCUCACCCUUGGGUGUUAGCACUUGCUUCCCAUGUGGUAAGACCACCACUUUUCCCUUCACGUGGUCCACCUUUGGAUAUUGUUGAAUGCUCUAGAGUGUGUUGACGUAGCUAAGAAGAAAGCACAUGGAAGAUUCACUAUCCGAUGGCUUCUUGGUGUGGACGAUUUCAUUCCACACAUGCCAACACCUCCAUAAAGUCAUCAAGAGGCACAUGCGAUCAUGAUCCGAGAGAUCCGCGAGCACCAGAAGCAGCCACUCCGGGCCCUCGUCUCUCACAGUGUGCACGUCCGGGAUAUUCCAAUGUUCCACCAUAGUUUGCCACAACGCGACCGCCCUCGGGCACCUGCAAAAUGCGUGAUAUGUAUCCUCCCGCCCGGUCAUACAAAUGAGACAAACAUCAGAUACUUCAAGAGUUCGGUGAUGCUUAUUUUCCCAAGUAGGGAGGGAAUUAGUAGCCAGCUGCCAUGCAAAGACACACACCUUCGGAGGAGCAGGGCACCUCCAUAAAUAAUCCCAGAUGGCUCGUCGCUCGCCCGGUGCCCUACUCGCUUCGACUGAAGAUGGUCGAAGGCGCUCGUUGAGGCCCAAUUGAUAAGCUCUCCAAACAGUAAAGACUCCAGAAUGCUCUAGUUCCCAUGCAAAACAUCAUCACUGAGCCUUGGUGAGGUACGAAUCUUGAGAAUAGCAUCAAUAUCUGGAGUAAAAAACCAACGAUGAAGGAGAUCCAACCGCCAAUUGCCAUGUUCAUCCAACAACUGGUCCACACGGCGAAGACGACACCUUGCCCGAGGAGAAAUUGGCAUGACAGGUUCCCCUCGUUGAAUCCACUGAUCGUGCCAUAUGCGGAUGGAUGCAUCGUUUACUACCCGCCAAAUAAUUCCCUUUUCAACAUUUCAAGUCCGUGCACAAUUGAUUGCCAAGUCAUCAAAGCAUUUCCGGAGAACAUAGUAUCGAGCAUGUCCCUAUUUAGAAAAUAGUGUGCUUUUAGGACAUGCGCACAUAAACUAUCUGGGAUUGUGAGGAUACACCACGCCUGCCAGGCAAGUAAAGCUUGGUUGAAAAUUCUCAUAUCUUUGAAUCCCAUUCCACCAUGUGACUUUGGUUGAUUAAAUCCUUCCAUGCACACCAAUGCAUUUUUCUCCUACCUUUUGCUACCCCAUGAAAGUGCAACUAUCCCUAGGUGGUUUUGGUAAUGAUUAACGACAUAUAGCUCAUUGAACUAAUGCCAUCUCAAGAUAAAUAUUUCAGGGAAGUUCAAUGAUUGGCAUGGCAUGGAUUAGGAUUGUGGACCCCUCAAAAUGCUAGGACAAAAGAUUGGCUCAAGCUCUAAAGUCCAAGACUCUACAUUUUCUAUUUAGUGAUCCAAGAUCACAUUGAGUCUAUAGGAAAGCCAAUACUAUUAAAAGGGGAUGAGGUGUUGCUUAAUGGCUUGCUUGCUCAAAAUGCUUAGUGAUAUGCUCCAAAAGCCCUCAACCACUUUCUCAUAUCCACAUAUGUCCCAAAUCAAAAGUCAAACUCGGCCCCACCGAUUUGAUUCAUCCGGUGCCACCGAGUUCAUUUGACAUAGCCAGUGCUAGAAACCCUAGUCACUUCGGUCUCACUGAUAUGGAUCUCGGUCUCAUCGAGAUGAGGUUGCAAACUCUCUAUUUCCCUUCAUAACGUUUCGGUCUAACCGAGAUGAGCAAUCGGUUCCAUCGAGUCUGCAAUGCAAACUCUUUGUUUCCCUUUCGUAACGCUUUGGUCCCACCAAGACGAGCGAAUUGGUCCCAUAGAGUUUGCCUGAGCAACUCUCUGGUUAGCUUAUUACCGAAGUUGGUCCAACCGAGUUUGUGUAAUCGGUCCAACCGAGAUUACGUUAUGCCCUAACCCUAAUGAUAUCGGUCCCACCGAGUUGACAUGUUGGUCCCAUCGAAAUUGCCUAACGGUCACAUAUGUACAGAAUCGGUCCGACCGGGUUUUCUGAUUGGUCCCACCGAGUUUGGUAUAUUGUGUGUAACGGUUAGAUUUUGUGUGGAGGCUAUAUACACCCCUCCACCCUCUUAUCAUUCGUGGGGGAAGCCAUCAGAACGUGCCUACACUUCCACUACUCAUUUUCUGAGAGAAAGCCACCUACUCAUGUGUUGAGACCAAGAUAUUCCAAUCCAACCAUAUGAAUCUUGGUCUCUAGCCUUCCCCAAGUUGCUUUCCACUCAAAUCAUCUUUCCACCAAAUCCAAUCCUAUGAGAGUGGGUUGAGUGUUGGGGAGGCUAUCAUUUGAAGCACAAGAGCAAGGAUUUUAUCACCAACACACCACUAUUACCUUUUGGAGAGUGGUGUCUCCUAGAUUGGUUAGGUGUCACUUGGGAGCCUCCGACAAGAUUGUGGAGUUGAAUCAAGGAGUUUGUAAGGGCAAGGAGAUCGCCUACUUCGUGAAGAUCUACCCUAGUGAAGCAAGUCCUUCGUGGGUGAUGGCCAUGGUGGGAUAGACAAGGUUGCUUCUUCGUGGACCCUUCGUGGGUGGAGCUCUCCGUGGACUCGCGCAACUGUUACCCUUCGUGGGUUGAAGUCUCCAUCAACGUGGAUGUACAAUAGCACCACCUAUCGGAACCACGCCAAAACAUCCGUGUCUCCUAUUGUGUUUGCACUCUCCAAACCCAUCCCUUUACAUUCUUGCAAGUUGCAUGCUUUACUUUCCGCUGCUUAUAUACUCUUUGCAUGCUUGCUUGAAUAGUGUUAAGAUUGCUUGACUUGUUCUAAAUUGUUAAAACCUGCCAAGAACUAAAAUUGGGAAAAGGUUAAGUUUAAUUUGGUCAAGUAGUCUAAUCACCCCCCCUCUAGACAUACUUUCGAUCCUACACCCCACCAGUAGUUUCGAAGCAUACUAGUAAUAUCAUCACAUGUAGCAGUCGGUAACCUAAAAACACUCAUCAAAUAUGUUGGCAAGGCCUGGCCUACUAAUUUGAUUGUUACCUCUCGUCCACUUUGAGCUAGUUGAGAAUCCCCCCACAACAAAAGAUUAUAUGUGAGUCUCUCUUGAAGGUUUUGACAUACGCCCUUGUGGAGUUGGGAGCCGAGAUAUUUUUCCUCGAACUGAACAUUCUGCACUUGUAAUAGUUGAACCACCUCCUCACGAUCUGAAUUCCUACAGUGUUCUCCAAACAAAAUAGAACAUUUAGCAGGGUCGAUCAAUUGUCCCAUAGCUCAAGCAUAUGAAUUAAGGACCCCUCGGAUGCUCGUAGCCUCUCUUGUCGUGGCACGAAAGAAAACAAUGUGUCAUCCGCAAAUAGCAAAUGGGAUAUUCCGGGCGUCCGCGGACAUGCACGAAGUGGAGUAAUAUGCAUAUUGUCAACAUUCUGUCUCAAUAAAGCAGCAAGACCAUCAGCAAUAAAGAGAAACAAAAAAGGCAAAAGAGGAUCUCCCUGCCGAAGGCCACACUUCGGUGCAAAUGAAUCUGAGAGGGCUCCAUUAACAUUAACCUUGUAUCUCACGGUGGUGACACAUGACAUUAUCCACUACACCCACCGAUGAGCAAAGCCCACAUGUUGCAUCACUCGCUCCAAGAAGAUCCAAUCCACACGAUCAUAAGCUUUAGAUAAAUGAAGCUUAUAUGCACAUAACUCCUAUUCGGGUCCUUCUCUUGCUUGAUAAAAUGAGUACACUCAAAGGCCAUAAACGCAUUAUCAGUAAUCAACCUACCAGACACGAAUGCACUCUGUUCUGGGGAGAUAAUGUCAUCAAGCUGAGGUCGAAGGCGAUUAACGAGACACUUGGAGAUGAUCUUGUACACCACAUUGCAUAGGUUGAUAGGAUGAAACUCAGUCAUCUUUGUUGGGUUGUCCACCUUAGGGAUGAGGACGAUGGUCGUGGUGUUGACGCCUUGGGGCAUUUGACCUAUAUCAGAAAACAUUUGAACUAUAGCAACAAUAUCCAUUUUAAGAGCAGCCCAAUGACGCUAAAAAAAUCUUACUGGGAAGCCAUCCGGCCCCCGUGCCUUAAGCGGUCCCAUCUGAAAGAUCACAUCGGAUAUUUUCUUUUCUGAAAAAGGUUGACAAAGCUUCUCAUUCAUAUCAUCAGUAAUUAACUUCUCAAAUAGGUGGACUACAUCCUCUUGAUUUAAUCGGUUUCUGCCUAAAUUUUUUGCUGAAAAUACUCCAUAGCUAGUCGGCCCGUACCUGCUUGGUCAUCACAUUUUACACCCUCAUCAUUAACCAGAUAUUUUAUCUUAUUUUUUCCUAGCUCGCCACCCGCUUUCUGCUGAAAGAAAUUUGUGUUUCGGUCACCUUCCUUAAGCUAGUCAAUCUGUGAUCUCUGCCUCCAAAGCAUCUCCUCUAUGUAAAGGAGUUCGUUCAUAUGAUCCGCUUCCUUCCUAAUUUUUUUACAAUCUGCAUUCAUGUUCAUUAGUUCCUCCAAUCGCGACCAUGACUUUUCUAGCUCCCUUGUGACAUUCCCAAACUUUUUUCAGCUCAAACCUUGAAGCUUUUUCAUAACCAAACUGAGUGCCUUGCUAACAUCAUCCAUCCCAUGGAUCGCACAUUGGUACUUCCAUGCUUUAUCCACUACAUCAUUAAUCCCCAGUCCCUAUCCCACAUGACUUCAUACCUACAAGAUCUCCUCGGCCUAUCAUUGCUCUACUAUACACAUAGCACAAGGAUAGGCCAGUGAUCUGAACAUGGUGAAACCAAGUGUUGUACCGCUGCAUCAGAGAAAAUGUUACGCCAUCCAAGAUCAACCACCGCUCUAUCAAGUCUUACCUGCACAUUUGCGUUGCCACUCCUACCAUUAUCAUAUGUGUAGGGAUAUCCAGAGAACCCCAGAUCAGCUAAUCCACAAGUAUCAAGCAUAUCUCAAAAGGCCAACAUCUGAGAUGGUGAAAGCACAUUUGCUCCCCGGGUGGUUUUGGUAAUUAAUGACAACAUACUUUGUGGUUGGACUAAUGCUUUUAUCAAGUAUGUUUCAGGAAAUUCAAUCACAUUGGCAUGGCAAAAGGACUAAAGAAGUGGACCCCUCAAAAUGCUAAGGCAAGCAUUGGCAAAAGCUCAGCUAAGGCAAGCAUUGGCAAAAGCUCAAGACUCCAUUUUUGGUUUAGUGAUCCAAGAUCACAUUGAGUCCAUAGGAAAAGCCAAUACUAUUAAAAGGGGAUGAGGUUAUGAUGAUGAUCUGGUUGCUCAAGUGCUUAGUGAUACAUCUCCUAAACUAUCAGCAACUUUCACUGCCAUAUACACUCAUAAGUAGUCUCGGUCCCACCGAUAUUCCAAACUCAGUCACACCGAGAUGAACCACCUCAGCCAUAAGCCAAACCCUAGUAAACUCGGAUUUUCCGAUUCUGAACUCGGUCUCACCGAAACAUGAGUUGCCAAGCUUCUGUAACCUUCUGUCAUCAAAUCGGUGUCACCGAGAUGAUGAAGUCGGUCCCACCGAAACUAGCAUGCUCUUGUCAUUGCACGAAUCGGACUAACCGAGAUUGUAUAUUCGGUCCCACCAAAAAUCCCAACGUUCACAUUAUUUGAACUAUCGGUCUCACCGAGUUGUCCACUUCGGUCCCACCGAGAUUGCUCAAAUGUGUGUAACAGUUGGAUUUUGUGUGGAGGCUAUUUAUACCCCUCCACCCCCUCUUCAUUCGUGGAGAGAGCCAUCAGAAAGAACUACCACUCCUACCUUAUAUUUCUGAGAAGAGAACUACCUACCCUUGUGUUGAGAUCAAGUUGCUCCACUCCCACCAUAUGAAGCUUGAUCUCUAGCCUUCCCAAGUUGCUUUCCACUCAAUCCUUUCUUCCACCACAGCCAAAUCAGUGAGGAGAGUUGAGUGUUGGGGAGAUUAUCAUUUGAAGCACAAGAGCAAGGAGUUCAUCAUCAUCUACAACAUCUAUUACCUUUUGGAGGGUGGUGCCUCCUAGAUUGGUUAGGUGUCGCUUGGGAGCCUCCGUCAUCGAGAUGUGGAGUUGAACCAAGAAGUUUGUAAGGGCAAGGAGAUCGCCUACUUCGUGAAGAUCUACCCCGAGUAAGGCUAGCCCUCCGUGGGCGUAGGCCAUGAUGGAAUAGACAAGGUUGCUUCUUCGUGGACCCUUCGUGGGUGGAGCCCUCCGUGGACUCUCGCAGCCGUUACCCUCCGUGGGUUGAAGUCUCCAUCAACGUGGAAGUACGAUAGCACCACCUAUCGGAACCAUGAGAAAAAUCACCGCGUCUCCAAAUUGCGUUUGAUCUUCUCCACUUCUCUUUACUACUUGUGCAAUUUACUUUCCGCUGCCCAUACUCUAGAAUUGCACGUGUAGUGUGCUACUUGACUUGUGUGUUAUGCAAAAUCUGCCAAAAUCUGUUCUUAAUAAAAGACAGAAUUUUUAUCUUGUCGAGUAGUCUAAUCACCCCCCCUCUAGACACUCUCACCUUCUUCGAUCCCUCAAUUGGUAUCAGAGCUUUGGUCUCCAUUGCUUUGGUUUACACACCAUUGGAGGAAGAUGGACAUGUCUAUGUUUGGGAGUGUUAGCCAUAGAGUGCCUAUUCUUAAUGGAGUGUCCUAUAACUCGUGGAGGAUUGAAAUGCUUAUUAUCUUUAAUACUUACAACUUGCGCAAAUAUGUUGAGACCCCCUAUGUGCCUCCAUUUGACCCCUUGCACCCUACCAUGGAUGAAGAGCUUGAUUUGCUUCGUAACCUUAGGACUGUAAAUCUUAUCAUUAGAGGGUUACCCGAUAACUUGCUUAAGCUCGUUACAAACUUUGAGUGCGCCUAUGCUAUGUGGAAGUUCUUGGAAGAACUUUAUCCGGACUACUCUUUGAGAGGUCUUGAUGAAAUUCUAUACAAGACUAUUGAAUUUGAUAUGAUGCGCCCCAAUGAUCCCAACUUUGAUAAAUGCUUCUUUGAGCUUCGUGAUCUUAUGAAAAAGAAGGGUGAUCCCGGUCUUAUCAAUGUUCUAAUUAGAAAUGCUCUUGUAUUGCAUUCCGAUGAUUAUUGUCACAUUGACAAAACUAAUGCAAGUAGUUAUCAAAUUGACCUAGGUGUUGAUGAUGAACAAUCUAUGGGUCGAUAUGAUGAUGGGCAUGAGCAUGAUGAUGAUCACUCCGAUUCGGACACCGAGCUAGACAAGAUCAUGAAGAGUCUCAACCUUAUGGCAAAUCUGAGAGACUACAUAUCCGGCGGAAAAGAGUGGAUUCUUGAUAGUGGAUGCACCGACCACAUGACCGGAGACAAAGACAUGUUUCGAGAGCUUGCAAAGAACGAUGGUCCACGCAAGUAUGUGACUUUUGGAGACAACUCCAAGGGUAAGGUACUUGGCCUUGGUAAGGUGGCCAUAUCUCAUGAUAGCUCUAUUCAAAAUGUCAUGCUUGUAGAAUCUCUUGGAUACAAUUUACUUUCCGUGUCUAGAUUAGCUGACUUUGGAUUCAAUGUGCUAUUCACCGAAGUAGAUUGCCAAGUCUUUCGUCGUGACAAUCAUAACAUGGCGUUUACCGGUAUCCGCAGAGGUGAUCUAUAUAUUGUUGAUUUCACUAAGAAAGCCCAACCUAGAGCUUGCUUCAUUACUAAAUCAGCUAAAGGUUGGUUAUGGCAUAGAAGGCUUGGACAUGUUGGUAUGCGUAAUUUAGACAAGCUGAUCAAAGGUGAUCAUAUUCUUGGCGUUAAAGAUGUUUUCUUUGACAAAGAUAGACUUUGUAGUGCUUGUCAAGCAGGAAAACAAGUAGGUGGAAGUCAUCCCGUGAAGAACAUCAUGACCACAAGGAGACCGCUUGAGCUUCUUCAUAUGGAUCUCUUUGGUCCCAAUGCUUACAAAAGCCUUGGUGGUAACUCCUUUGGUCUAGUUAUAGUUGAUGAUUAUUCCAGAUUUAUGUGGGUAUUUUUCCUUGAUGACAAAUCGCAGGUUCAGAGGAUCUUCAAAACCUUUGCCAGAAAGGCCCAAAAUCAAUUUGAGGUGAAGAUCAAGAAAGUUCGGAGUGACAAUGGAACGGAGUUCAAGAACGCUAAUGUAGACUCUUUUCUCGAUGAGGAAGGGAUUCUACAUGAGUUCUCGGCUACGUACACUCCUCAACAAAAUGGAGUUGUUGAGAGGAAGAACCGAACGCUCAUAGAGAUGGCGAGAACGAUGCUUGAUGAAUACAAGACACCGAAGCAUUUUUGGGGGGAAGCGGUCGAGACAGCUUGUCAUGCUAUCAACAGGCUUUAUCUUCAUAAGCUCCUCGGCAAGACAUCAUACGAGCUCCUCACCGGUAACAAACCCCAAGUGGGAUACUUUCGUGUCUUUGGUUCAAAAUGUUAUAUCCUUGAUAAGCAUCGUCGGUCUAAAUUUGCUCCUAAAACUCAUGAAGGCUUUUUCCUUGGUUAUGGAUCAAACUCCCACACCUACCGUGUCUACAAUAAUUUCACCCGAAAGGUUGAAGAGACGGUAGACGUGAAGUUUGAUGAAUCUAAUGGCUCGCAAGUAGAGCAAAUGCCUAUUGAUGUAGGAGACAAGGACCCAUCAGAAGCUAUCCAAGAUUUAUCUAUUGGAAAGAUCCGUCCCAUGGAAGUGAAGGAGAGUACCUCAUCUACAUAUGUGGAGCCCCCUACCUCACGGCGAGAUGAACCUCAAGGCAACAUGGAGGCCUCCACAAGUGGAACUCACCAAGAUGAGGAAGUGCAACAAGAAGAUCCACCACAACCUCCUUCUCCACCGCCUCAAGACAACACCAACAACAAUGAAGAAGAAGAAGAGGAAGAUGAAGAUGAUGAGGAAGCUCAGCCACAACCUCAACAAAAGCUAUCCUGAGUCUGAGCAAGAGUCAAGAAAAAUCAUCCCGUGGAACAAAUGAUGAACGACAUCAACUCCGGGAGAAUUACUCGCUCUAAAACUCGCUUAGCUAACUUUUGUGAGCAUUACUCAUUUAUCUCUAGUAUUGAACCUAUGAAGGUAGAAGAAGCACUUGAAGACCCGGAUUGGGUGAACGCUAUGCACGAAGAGCUACACAACUUCGAGAGGAACAAUGUAUGGACUUUGGUAGAGAAGCCCAAGGAUGAUCAAAACGUCAUUGGAACCAAAUGGGUGUUUCGGAACAAGCAAGAUGAAGAUGGACAAGUCAUCCUCAACAAGGCUCGUCUCGUAGCUCAAGGUUACACACAAGUCGAAGGUAUGGACUAUGGUGAGACCUAUGCCCCCGUUGCUAGACUUGAGUCCAUUCGCAUUCUUCUUGCUUUUGCCAAUCACCAUGAUAUUACUCUCUAUCAAAUGGAUAUCAAAAGUGCUUUCCUAAAUGGUGAAAUUGAGGAGGAAGUAUUUGUGAAACAACCUCCCGGAUUUGUGAAUCCCAAAAAGCCUAAUCAUGUUUACAAGUUGCACAAAGCUCUUUAUGGUCUUAAACAAGCUCCUAGAGCUUGGUACAAAUGCUUGACUAGCUUUCUUCUUGAAAAAGGCUUUGAGAUUGGAAAGAUAGACUCAACGCUGUUCACGAAAAGGGUUGAUGGUGAACUAUUUGUGUGCCAAAUAUAUGUUGAUGAUAUUAUCUUUGGUUCAACUAACCCUCAUUUUAGCGAGAAGUUUGGAAAGCUCAUGUCGGAGAAGUAUGAGAUGUCCAUGAUGAGUGAACUCAAAUUCUUCCUUGGGUUGCAAAUCAAGCAAUCUAAGGAGGGUACCUUUGUCUCACAAACAAAGUACACCAAGGAUCUCUUCAAGAAGUUCAACAUGCAAGAAAGCAAAGGUAUGAGAACCCCCAUGCCUACAAGUGGACAUAAUGACUUGACAAAAGAUGGAGAACCCGUUGAUCAAAAGGUUUACCGAUCUAUGAUUGGUUCUCUACUAUAUCUUUGUGCUUCUCGUCCUGACAUAAUGUUGAGUGUAUGCAUGUGUGCUCGAUAUCAAGAAGCCCCUAAAGAAUGUCAUCUUAAAGCUGUUAAAAGGAUUGUGAGAUAUUUGAUACACACACCAAACUUUGGCAUUUGGUAUCCUAAGAGGGCCUCUUUCGACCUUGUUGGCUAUUCCGACUCGGACUAUGCCGGAGAUAGGGUUGAUAGAAAGUCAACUUCGGGUACGUGUCAAUUCCUUGGUCGAUCCCUUGUAUCUUGGUCCUCCAAGAAACAAAAUUCGGUAUCAUUAUCCACUGCCGAAGCGGAAUAUAUUGCUGCUGGUUCGUGUUGUGCUCAAUUACUAUGGAUGACACAAACGCUUAAGGAUUAUGGGAUACAUGUGAGACAUGUUCCCUUGCUUUGUGACAAUGAGAGUGCGAUUAAAAUUGGACACAAUCCCGUGCAACACUCUUGAACGAAACAUAUUGAAGUUCGUCACCAUUUCAUUCGUGAUCACAUUGCCAAGGGUGACAUCAAUCUUAAGCAUGUUCGUACUGACAAACAACUCGCUGAUAUCUUUACAAAACCUCUUGAUGAGAAGGUGUUUUGUCACUUAAGGAGUGAGUUGAACAUCAUUGAUGCUUCAAACUUGGAGUGAGAACUCCAUUGAUGCAUGCAAGGCAUGAGCCCACUUGACUAAUCCUUGAUAUUUCUCUUAUGAUGGUAAUCAUAUAUCUUGGACACAUUUGCCUCCUUGUAUUGCAUCUAACUCCUUGCAGGUACUUGGAUGAUCUACAUUCCACAAGAUUACCACACACUCAAAUCAUGAGUAAUCUUGUCAUUGACCAAGUAUCUAGCCCUUUUGGGAUGUUGAGUUCAAGGAACAAAAUUCCACAUAUCCUUUUUGACAUCUUAUACAUCUAGUAUUUCACUCUUGUCAUCUUGGAUAUCCUUGAGUAUUUCCUUGCUUGCCUAACCCAUGUAGGAAGAUGAACUACACAAGUGGAAAUGGCGCUCCAACUUCACAUUCAAUGAGCACCUACAUCAAGUUCACCUACAUGAACAAAGCAACAACAAGCCCAAGGUAUGUUCUUCACAUCUUUAAGGAGCUUUGCUCAAAGUCAUGAGUACAAGCAGCUUCAUAAGAUGUGAUCACAUCGAAUGCCUAAUCGAAAAAUGGCAACCCCAUUUUGAGCUUAAAUGAUGAGUAUGACCUAUGAUCAAAUGUCCUCAUUUGACUCCUAAGUCAAUAUACUCAAACAUAGGUGACCUUGUCGCCGACCUUUAUCUAGAUGAAGUACAUAUGUUUUGGAGUCUUUCUAUUUUCUCUUAUUUUCUCUCAUUGAGUUUUCAUUAAAAAAAACUUCAUCUAGGAAUCUUUUUCAUUUCUAUUCUUCUGUCUUUGUGAAUAUCCUUCUGGCUCUGAUCAAUUCCUCGAAAAUCAUUCACAAAUUCAUUGCAAAUCCUUUGAAACAUUCCUCGCAAAGUGAGAUGAAUUAUUUCUGUAUUUCCUUGAAAUUAAACUCGGCGUCACCGAUUUAACUAUUUCGGUCUAACCGAAAAGGAUCUACCCUAAGUCCCUGAUUCGGACCCACCGAUCCAUCCUAAUUCGGUGUCAUCGAUUUAUUUCUUCCAGGAUAUCAUCUUCUGCAGCUCCACUCAAUGAUUCUCUAUGCAUGUUCCUUUUUGCCCUGUUGUGAUUCUUAAGGAUCCCACUUCUUUCUUUCCAUCUUCCCUAACCUUCCUAGUUCGCUGUCCUUUUCGGCACUUGAUGUCAAAGGGGGAGAAGACUUAGGGGGAGAAGAGAAGAUUUAGGGGGAGAAGAAGAGCAAUCUUACCUUAAGGGGGAGAGAAUCACAUCAAAGCUUUGCCGUGUUUUUCCUUAUAAGAGAAUUUCUUGCCCCUUGAUCUGAGAGAACUCAAAGGGAGAGGAAUCUUCACAAUUGAUAUCUUAUGGAAAGCAAAAUCUCUCAGAGUUCAUUGAAAAUCUUUUAGUUUCGGAGACAUGUUUGCUGAUUCAAGCUUGUGCUCAAUAUGAGACACUCUUUAUACAUGUCAUCCCUGGCUUGGUACUCUUGAUGUUCUUGUAGUUAGUUGAAGAAAUACUCUUGUGUUAUCUAACCUUGUUUUCCCAAGUUUAUCUCUUCAGGUACAAUGCCAAGGAACCUCAAGGUAAGUAUAUGCACUUUGCAGAAUGUGCAUGAUGGUGACUUGCUUGUGAAUACUUGUUUGCAAGAAAUCACCAUGCACAUAUGCAUUAUCACUCACUUCUUUUCAUCUGCUCUGAUGCAUAUAGCCAAGCUGCAUGUAGCACAUCUUGCUUCUCUCUCUUGUGUGCUUGUGGUAGUCCAAAACCAUAAUUUAUGAAAAUCUUGCACACUUGUAGGGGGAGCCUGUGUACUACAUGUUUGUCAAAGCUUUCGUGAUAAUUCUGUCUUUCUUUCAAUAAGCUUUGAUGUCUUGUUUAGUGUGUUGCCAUCAAUUACCAAAAAGGGGGAGAUUGAAAGCACAUUUGCUCCCCGGGUGGUUUUGGUAAUUAAUGACAACAUACUUUGUGGUUGGACUAAUGCUUUUAUCAAGUAUGUUUCAGGAAAUUCAAUCACAUUGGCAUGGCAAAAGGACUAAAGAAGUGGACCCCUCAAAAUGCUAAGGCAAGCAUUGGCAAAAGCUCAGCUAAGGCAAGCAUUGGCAAAAGCUCAAGACUCCAUUUUUGGUUUAGUGAUCCAAGAUCACAUUGAGUCCAUAGGAAAAGCCAAUACUAUUAAAAGGGGAUGAGGUUAUGAUGAUGAUCUGGUUGCUCAAGUGCUUAGUGAUACAUCUCCUAAACUAUCAGCAACUUUCACUGCCAUAUACACUCAUAAGUAGUCUCGGUCCCACCGAUAUUCCAAACUCAGUCACACCGAGAUGAACCACCUCAACCAUAAGCCAAACCCUAGUAAACUCGGAUUUUCCGAUUCUGAACUCGGUCUCACCGAAACAUGAGUUGCCAAGCUUCUGUAACCUUCUGUCAUCAAAUCGGUGUCACCAAGAUGAUGAAGUCGGUCCCACCGAAACUAGCAUGCUCUUGUCAUUGCACGAAUCGGACUAACCGAGAUUGUAUAUUCGGUCCCACCGAAAAUCCCAACGUUCACAUUAUUUGAACUAUCGGUCUCACCGAGUUGUCCACUUCGAUCCCACCGAGAUUGCUCAAAUGUGUGUAACGGUUGGAUUUUGUGUGGAGGCUAUUUAUACCCCUCCACCCCCUCUUCAUUCGUGGAGAGAGCCAUCAGAAAGAACUACCACUCCUACCUUAUAUUUCUGAGAAGAGAACUACCUACCCUUGUGUUGAGAUCAAGUUGCUCCACUCCCACCAUAUGAAGCUUGAUCUCUAGCCUUCCCAAGUUGCUUUCCACUCAAUCCUUUCUUCCACCACAGCCAAAUCAGUGAGGAGAGUUGAGUGUUGGGGAGAUUAUCAUUUGAAGCACAAGAGCAAGGAGUUCAUCAUCAUCUACAACAUCUAUUACCUUUUGGAGGGUGGUGCCUCCUAGAUUGGUUAGGUGUCGCUUGGGAGCCUCCGUCAUCGAGAUGUGGAGUUGAACCAAGAAGUUUGUAAGGGCAAGGAGAUCGCCUACUUCGUGAAGAUCUACCCCGAGUAAGGCUAGCCCUCCGUGGGCGUAGGCCAUGAUGGAAUAGACAAGGUUGCUUCUUCGUGGACCCUUCGUGGGUGGAGCCCUCCGUGGACUCUCGCAGCCGUUACCCUCCGUGGGUUGAAGUCUCCAUCAACGUGGAAGUACGAUAGCACCACCUAUCGGAACCACGAGAAAAAUCACCGCGUCUCCAAAUUGCGUUUGAUCUUCUCCACUUCUCUUUACUACUUGUGCAAUUUACUUUCCGCUGCCCAUACUCUAGAAUUGCACGUGUAGUGUGCUACUUGACUUGUGUGUUAUGCAAAAUCUGCCAAAAUCUGUUCUUGAUAAAACAUAAUUUUUAUCUUGUCGAGUAGUCUAAUCACCCCCCCUCUAGACACUCUCACCUUCUUCGAUCCCUCAG